UGCGUUCCACCGAAUCUAGUUCUAAAUUCAAAUUUUCUUCCUCCUCUAAUCCAUCCAUUGACUCCUCCUCAACUGGUUUGAUAGAUCUUCAUUAUACUCACCCAAUACAUAGACUUGAGCCUUUAGUUUCAAGAUCUGGGCAUCCCGAAGUUCCAACUGAUGUUGCUCCCGACUCAUCCAUUCUGAAACAUCUUCAAUCAA
This 201-nucleotide long non-coding RNA is filed under the name Physcomitrium patens. RNAcentral's name for it is "long non-coding RNA (PPAT_LNC005161)". The record is from RNAcentral. Lineage: Eukaryota; Viridiplantae; Streptophyta; Bryopsida; Funariales; Funariaceae.